CUUGCAUACUAUUGGGUUGGCCAAAAAGUUUGUUCAGGUUUUUCCUUAAUAGCUUAUGGAACAAACUUUUUGGGCAACCCAAUAUAAUUU
This 90-nucleotide microRNA precursor is filed under the name Ovis aries (sheep). Its description in RNAcentral is "miRNA (ENSOARG00000023591.1)". Lineage: Eukaryota; Metazoa; Chordata; Mammalia; Artiodactyla; Bovidae. The record is from RNAcentral.